UGGGGAAUUUUGGACAAUGGGCGAAAGCCUGAUCCAGCCAUGCCGCGUGUGUGAAGAAGGUCUUCGGAUUGUAAAGCACUUUAAGUUGGGAGGAAGGGCAGUUACCUAAUACGUGAUUGUUUUGACGUUACCGACAGAAUAAGCACCGGCUAACUCUGUGCCAGCAGCCGCGGUAAUACAGAGGGUGCAAGCGUUAAUCGGAAUUACUGGGCGUAAAGCGCGCGUAGGUGGUUCGUUAAGUUGGAUGUGAAAUCCCCGGGCUCAACCUGGGAACUGCAUUCAAAACUGACGAGCUAGAGUAUGGUAGAGGGUGGUGGAAUUUCCUGUGUAGCGGUGAAAUGCGUAGAUAUAGGAAGGAACACCAGUGGCGAAGGCGACCACCUGGACUGAUACUGACACUGAGGUGCGAAAGCGUGGGGAGCAAACAGGAUUAGAUACCCCCGUAGUCCCUGAGCGGGCUGGCAAG
Molecule: ribosomal RNA, 466 nt
Filed under: uncultured bacterium
Lineage: Bacteria
Description: bacterial SSU rRNA
Rfam family: Bacterial small subunit ribosomal RNA
Source: RNAcentral